UGGCGGCGUGCUUAACACAUGCAAGUCGAGCGGUAAGGCCCUUCGGGGUACACGAGCGGCGAACGGGUGAGUAACACGUGAGCAACCUGCCCCUGACUCCGGGAUAAGCGGUGGAAACGCCGUCUAAUACCGGAUAUGACACACCAUCUCCUGGUGGUGUGUGGAAAGUUUUGUCGGUCAGGGAUGGGCUCGCGGCCUAUCAGCUAGUUGGUGGGGUAAAGGCCUACCAAGGCGAUUACGGGUAGCCGGCCUGAGAGGGCGACCGGCCACACUGGGACUGAGACACGGCCCAGACUCCUGCGGGAGGCAGCAGUGGGGAAUAUUGCACAAUGGGCGAAAGCCUGAUGCAGCGACGCCGCGUGGGGGAUGACGGCCUUCGGGUUGUAAACCUCUUUUACCACCAACGCAGGCCCCGGGUUCUCUCGGGGUUGACGGUAGGUGGGGAAUAAGGACCGGCUAACUACGUGCCAGCAGCCGCGGUAAUACGUAGGGUCCGAGCGUUGUCCGGAAUUAUUGGGCGUAAAGAGCUCGUAGGCGGCGUGUCGCGUCUGCUGUGAAAGACCGGGGCUUAACCCCGGUUCUGCAGUGGAUACGGGCAUG
RNAcentral lists this ribosomal RNA (600 nucleotides) under Nocardiopsis sp. YIM 80172. RNAcentral describes it as "bacterial SSU rRNA". It matches the Rfam family "Bacterial small subunit ribosomal RNA", at positions 37 to 640 of the family's 1533-position model. The record is from RNAcentral. Lineage: Bacteria; Bacillati; Actinomycetota; Actinomycetes; Streptosporangiales; Nocardiopsidaceae.